This is a long non-coding RNA of Harmonia axyridis, 1322 nucleotides long. RefSeq lists it as uncharacterized. The record is from RefSeq and is a predicted model, not a curated record. NCBI's taxonomy places the organism in Eukaryota, Metazoa, Arthropoda, Insecta, Coleoptera, Coccinellidae. The transcript has 5 exons.
AUUUCCGCUAAAAUUCUGACAAAAAAAUAAUUGCAUGAAGUAUUGAAAGAAAACUAAGAUAAUUUUAAAUUUUAUUGAAGAAUUUCUUGUGAGGUUUUACGGUAAAUGAAACACUCAGAUAAACUAGUUUGUCUAUGGAAACACUCCACUGUGUCGGUUGGAAGGUGUGGAAUAUGUUCAGUGAAAAUUAAUCACAAAAUGCUUAAUUUCAUGAUCUACUCAACCAAGUUUCUCUGUAUAGAUGCCUACCAUCUCGCCAAGAAAGGACCACUUCUACUAGAAGAUUUGUUGAAUGCAUUGCAGGUUGGAAGAGUAAAUCACAUAACUGAUGGAUUAAUUAACUGUCAUUCAUUCAGCUGGCAAUUGGUAAUCAACAAAAGAUUCCUUCAGUCUGUAGAUUGAAAGUCAGUAAAUAUUAUUUCCUGUCAUGCUGAUGCUAUGGAAUAUGUUGAGUGAAAAGAAAUCACAAAAUGCUCAAUUUCGUGCUCUUCUCAACGAAAUUUCUGUAUAAGGAUGCCUACAAAACUUGCUAACAAGGGACCAUUCUUUUACUAGAUUUUUUGAAAUCAAUGCAUUGCAGGUUGCAGGAGGAAAUUAUAUAAAUGGCGGAUGAAUUAAGAUGUCAAAUGGGCAUCCACAUGAUUUUAUCAGUUUGUAGAUUUCGUGCUCUUCUCAACGAUGUUUCUCUAUAUAGAUGUCUACCAAACUUUCUAACAAAGGACCACUCUUCUACUAGAUUUGUUGAAUGCAUUGCAGGUUGCAGGAGGAAAUUACAUAAAUGGUGGAUGAAUUAAUAAAUAAUUGCCAUUUAUUGAGAUGGCAAAUGGUUGUCAAUAUGAUUUCUUCAGUUUGUGGAUUGCAAGUCAGUAUAUAAUCUAUCUGCUCAUGCUGAUGUUAUGGAAUAUGUUGAGUGGAAAGAAAUCACAAAAUGCUCAAUUUCGCGCUCUUCUCAAUGAAGUUCCUGUUCAAAGAUGCCUACAAAACUUACUAACAAAGGACUAUUCUUCUACUAGAUUUUUUGAAUACAUUGCAGGUUGCAGAAGGAAAUUACAUACCCUAAAUGGUUGAUCAUUUAAGAUAUCAAAUGGCCAUCAACAUGAUUCUAUCAGUUUGUAGUUUUGGGGCAUGUAAGAGAAAGAAACCGACUGCAGAGAAAUAUUCAGGAGAAUUUCUUUUUGACAUCAAAUUUGAAGGUGAUCCUAUGCCAAAAUAUCGUGAACAAGUUCUUUUAGGGAACAUCUCAUAGCGAAUAGGUGUUCAGGAAUGAAUAAUAGUAAUUCGUAAUAUCGAAUAAAUAAUACUAAAUAUACAUUAUACAAUAU